CCUACGGGAGGCAGCAGUGGGGAAUAUUGGACAAUGGGCGAAAGCCUGAUCCAGCCAUGCCGCGUGUGUGAAGAAGGCCUUCGGGUUGUAAAGCACUUUCAGUGGGGAAGAAAGCCUUGGGGCUAAUACCCUCGAGGCAGGACAUCACCCACAGAAGAAGCACCGGCUAACUCCGUGCCAGCAGCCGCGGUAAUACGGAGGGUGCGAGCGUUAAUCGGAAUUACUGGGCGUAAAGCGCGCGUAGGCGGUCUGAUAAGCCGGUUGUGAAAGCCCCGGGCUCAACCUGGGAACGGCAUCCGGAAACUGUCAGGCUAGAGUGCAGGAGAGGCAGGUAGAAUUCCCGGUGUAGCGGUGAAAUGCGUAGAGAUCGGGAGGAAUACCAGUGGCGAAGGCGGCCUUCUGGACUGACACUGACGCUGAGGUGCGAAAGCGUGGGUAGCAAACAGGAUUAGAUACCCGUGUAGUC
This 466-nucleotide ribosomal RNA is filed under the name Vreelandella stevensii. RNAcentral describes it as "partial 16S ribosomal RNA". It matches the Rfam family "Bacterial small subunit ribosomal RNA", at positions 338 to 795 of the family's 1533-position model. Lineage: Bacteria; Pseudomonadati; Pseudomonadota; Gammaproteobacteria; Oceanospirillales; Halomonadaceae. The record is from RNAcentral.